Molecule: ribosomal RNA, 484 nt
Filed under: uncultured bacterium
Lineage: Bacteria
Description: partial 16S ribosomal RNA
Rfam family: Bacterial small subunit ribosomal RNA
Source: RNAcentral
AGUGAACGCUGGCGGCGUGCUUAACACAUGCAAGUCGAACGAGAACGGAUUAUAGCUUGCUAUAAUAGUCAGCUAAGUGGCGCACGGGUGAGUAAUGUAUAGGUAAUAUGCCUCUUACUAAGGGAUAACAAAUGGAAACGUUUGCUAAUACCUUAUACUCCUUAUUAACAUAAGUUAAUAAGGGAAAGAUUUAUUGGUAAGAGAUUAGCCUGUAUUGUAUCAGUUAGUUGGUGGGGUAAUGGCUUACCAAGACUAUGACACAUAACUGGUUUGAGCGGAUGAUCAGUGACACUGGAACUCAGACACGGUCCAGACUCCUACGGGAGGCAGCAGUGGGGAAUAUUGCACAAUGGACGAAAGUCUGAUGCAGCAACGCCGCGUGGAGGAUGACACAUUUCGGUGCGUAAACUCCUUUUAUAUGAGAAGAUAAUGACGGUAUUAUAUGAAUAAGCGCCGGCUAACUCCGUGCCAGCAGCCGCAGUAA